RNAcentral lists this ribosomal RNA (253 nucleotides) under uncultured bacterium. Its description in RNAcentral is "partial 16S ribosomal RNA". It matches the Rfam family "Bacterial small subunit ribosomal RNA", at positions 524 to 776 of the family's 1533-position model. The record is from RNAcentral.
UACGGGGGGGGCAAGCGUUGUUCGGAAUUACUGGGCGUAAAGGGCGCGUAGGCGGCUCGCUAAGUCGGAUGUGAAAACUCUGGGCUCAACCCAGAGCCUGCAUUCGAAACUGACGAGCUCGAGUGCUGGAGGGGAAAGCGGAAUUCCUGGUGUAGCGGUGAAAUGCGUAGAUAUCAGGAGGAACACCGGUGGCGAAGGCGGCUUUCUGGACAGAAACUGACGCUGAUGCGCGAAAGCUAGGGGAGCAAACAGG